GCGAAAAGAACCCCGGGAGGGGAGUGAAAUAGAUCCUGAAACCGCAUGCAUACAAAAAGUCGGAGCCUCGCAAGGGGUGACGGCGUACCUUUUGUAUAAUGGGUCAGCGACUUACAUUCAGUGGCAAGCUUAACCGAAUAGGGGAAGGCGCAGGGAAACCGAGUCCGAACAGGGCGUUCAGUCGCUGGGUGUAGACCCGAAACCAAGUGAUCUAUCCAUGGCCAGGAUGAAGGUGCCGUAACAGGUACUGGAGGUCCGAACCGACUAGUGUUGCAAAACUAGCGGAUGAGCUGUGGAUAGGGGUGAAAGGCUAAACAAAACUUGGAGAUAGCUGGUUCUCUCCGAAAGCUAUUUAGGUAGCGCCUCAAGUAUUACCGUCGGGGUAGAGCACUGUUAUGGCUAGGGGGUCAAUGGCGACUUACCAAACCAAUUGCAAACUCCGAAUAACCGAUGAGUACAGCUUGGGAGACAGUGCACCGGGUGCUAACGUCCGGACACAAGAAGGGG
RNAcentral lists this ribosomal RNA (507 nucleotides) under uncultured bacterium. Its description in RNAcentral is "bacterial LSU rRNA". It matches the Rfam family "Bacterial large subunit ribosomal RNA", at positions 514 to 1021 of the family's 2925-position model. The record is from RNAcentral.